UAAUACAGAGGUCUCAAGCGUUGUUCGGACUCAUUGGGCGUAAAGGGUGCGUAGGCGGCGCGGUAAGUCGGGUGUGAAAUUUCGAGGCUUAACUUCGAAACUGCAUUCGAUACUGCCGUGCUUGAGGACUGGAGAGGAGACUGGAAUUUACGGUGUAGCGGUGAAAUGCGUAGAUAUCGUAAGGAAGACCAGUGGCGAAGGCGGGUCUCUGGACAGUUCCUGACGCUGAGGCACGAAGGCCAGGGGAGCAAACGGGA
RNAcentral lists this ribosomal RNA (257 nucleotides) under uncultured prokaryote. RNAcentral's name for it is "partial 16S ribosomal RNA". It matches the Rfam family "Bacterial small subunit ribosomal RNA", at positions 521 to 777 of the family's 1533-position model. The record is from RNAcentral.